Molecule: long non-coding RNA, 3603 nt
Filed under: Vigna radiata
Lineage: Eukaryota; Viridiplantae; Streptophyta; Magnoliopsida; Fabales; Fabaceae
Description: long non-coding RNA (VRAD_LNC015610)
Source: RNAcentral
GAAGACCAGAGUGUAUGUUUCAAGGUAUGUGUGAAGAUAUUGGAAUUUAUGAGAAAUUUUUGGGGUGAAAAAGUUUUCAAGAACCGAGUCAGAAGGUCAAAUAUUGUACGUUUCAUAAGAAGAGUUGAGUUCCAAGGGAUAAAAUAAGAGGAGCUUUGGGUAAGCAUGAGUGUAUCAAGGUUUGAGGAAUCAGUUUGGUUUAGUAUAUCAGUAAAGUUAGAGGUUAGGAGAAAGGAAAGUGUUAGUAAGCAACAGAGCAACAUUAGUUGAAGUUGGCAACAUGGUUCGGGGUAUUGGCAGGGAUUAGGAUUUAAACGAGAAAGUGGUAGGUGGCUUUAAAGCUUAAGUUAAGAAAGGAAUAAGAAUUCUAAAGUGGAAUAAAAGGAAUCAAUGUUUAGAAAGGAAUUAGGAGAAUAAGAGUUUGAGAAAUAGGUGUGUAAGACAUAGAGCAUAUUAAAGAGAGCUUAGUAGAAAGUAGAAUUUCGAAGUUAAGAACACAAGGUCUUUGAAGAAGAAUGAGGUAUCGAAAGGGUUGAAGUUAAGUAAUAUAAUUGGAAGGAGUGGUCAAGCUUUCUCAUCAAGUGGAUGAUUCAUAAUCAAGCUUAGGUUGAUGUUUCAAGAUUAGUAAUUCGCAUAGAAGGAAUGUUUGAUCUCUGUUUGAGGUUGAAGGCUUCAAGCACCGAAGGAAGAAGCACAUCAGGAAGUUAGUUAAAAAGAAAAGGUAAGACAAUAAGAUCGAAAGCAUGAGGAAUCAGGAAUAAUGAAAAAAAAAGGUUUUUGAAGUGCAUGAAAAAGAGUGAUUGCAGUAUAAUCAGCUAAAGCGGGUAUUGAGAAUGAUCACAGAGAUUGGUAAAGUCAGUUUUCGUCAGAUGUGGUUUGUGGUGAUGUUUAGUGGUCGGCUGGGUUUGAUCAAGGUAGAAGAGAAUGUUGAAUGAUGAGUUACAAGAGGCAAUAAGUGGGUAAGUUCAGAUAAGGCCAGAGGAUUGGUGUUGCUGGUUAAGGGUAUCUUGAGGUUCAGAGGAUCAAAUAUAGAGUUAGUAUUUCUACAGAUUCUGAGUUAAAGCGGGCAAUUCUUGAAGAAGAAGGUUUUAAGUUAAUUUGGUCGGACGAGUGCAUGAAGAAUUCUAAGUGAUGUGAUGUUUGUGGAGUUAAUCUAAGGGCUCGGGUUUGAAGCUUAUAUCGAGUGGUUUCUUGGCAGGGAAGGGAAGUGGAAGGUGGUGCAUCAAGUACAGUUGAGCGAAAGAUAGAAGCAAGUGUUAUGGGAAUUCAAGAUGUUUGUUAAGUACGAGUGAAGAAGAGAUGAUGUUAUUCUUUCGUAAGUUUGAGGUGUGAUUCAAGGGAGGAUUGUUGUUUUAAAAUAGUUCUCUAGCGCUUUAUGGUCUUCAAGAGAAGCCUCGUGUUUCAAGAGGAAAGGUAAGUGGUUAUACAUUAAUUGUAGAUGAAGUUAGAUAGUGAAGAAAAAGGGGACGUGAGAAUCAAAAGGGGUUAGCAUGGAGAUGUGGAGGAGAGAAGAUAGAUCUUUAUGGUGUAAGGGUUUUGGUUGAUGUUUUGCAACACACAUUAAAUUUUUCAUACCUUGGAGAAGUGAAGUUCAUUUUGUUGUGGUGUCUAAAGCAGAAUUGGUGUUAGUAAUAUCUUAUGGGGGGUUCCUGUUGAAGUUGUGUAAUGCAAGAGGAAGAUAGAAGUUGAGUUAGAGCAACAGUGGUUGGACUCUGUGUGAUAAUAGGGAGAACCACAAGGUUGAAGAAUCUCAUAAGAGAAUUAGAGGACAGGUUGAACAGUUCGGUAUAACUAUUAACAAUUAGGAGUGAUUUCGAGCAUGGUCGUUUUGUGGAAUAGAAAACAAUGUUGAGGAAAUGGAAUGACAAGGUUAUCAUGGAAGAAAAGAGUUACCAAGGCUUUGCAAAUUCAUGGAAGUUUUGAAGAAGGUUCUUCAAGGGUGAUCAUCUUCAGGUUGCAAAUUGUCAUGAAGGAAGUGUUCUUUCAGUAAACUAAUGAACAAGGGAGUUUAAGGAUCAGAGUAGCGCAACGGAUGUUAGUGGGCUUGUUCUUAUCAGUACCAAGUGUAUGUGAAGCGUUUUCAAGGUCAGGUGUGGGCGGUUAUGUGAGAUGAGCUUCUUUAAAACAAUCGAGACGUCAUUAUCUAAGGCAUCAGUUGGGAGUGUUUGGUGAUCUUCAAGAGUCAGAAGUGAGUUUAGGUAUGGUGGAGAUAAGUAUGAAGCAAAGAAGACAAGUGAGACUUCAGUUUCAAGAUGCAAUGUCAACCUGGAAGUGGGAGAAUAAAUGGACGUUGAGCACGGGAAGAGGUUCAAUGGAUGAAGGAAAUGAACUGGGAUAAGUUUCAAGUUGUAAGGUCAAUUUUGAGAUGAGCAAGCGUUAGUUGUGCGUGGAAACUGAAAGAAGAUUCAAGUUGUUAGCUUAGUAUGAAUUGAUUAAGAGUCGGUUGAAGAGUUUGAAGACCGGAGUCUGAAGUGAAGAGGUAAAGAGAUUUCACUAGUAUAGUUGAAAUACUAUAACUAGUGGGUUUCUCAAAAUGGUUGAGACAACGUAGUUUGGACAUUCCUAGCUUGAAAGGUAUCAUAAGUUGGCAUGGUACGGAUUAGGUUAGUGAUCUCAAGUUGAGGAAACGACAUGACUAAGUAUGAUUAGAAGCUAGUAGAUUAAAAAGUGCAUAUGGUUCAGGUUAGUGAGAUAACGAAGUGAAGCUAGAUUGCUCAAAUUGGUUUCGACGUUGCAAAGGAGAAGAAUUUUACUUUGGUAAUGAGAUGAUAUAGUAGGAAACUAUGUUACUCGGUAGUGAAGAUCAGAAAAGCAAUGUGAAGCUCUCAGAAUGGAUGUGGAUAAAGGUGAUCCAAAUAUAGCAGUUGGUGGGUAACUCGGAAAUUGUGGUGAUCAAGUCAGAGGUAUGGUGGUUCUUGAAACGAACAAGAGGAGGUAAAUGAGUAUCGGUCAAGGGUUAAUUUAAAGUCAAGAUUAGUGGAAGUCUUAGAAGAGAUUUACAAGAAGUGGCGGAAGGUGGAUGAGUGUUUUUCUGUACGGCAGACACAAUGGGGUUGGUUGUGCGAAAGAAAGUUUCUUACUAGUUGAAGUUUAGGAGUUCAUAUUUGUCUUGAGAGUAAUGGCUAAACCAAUCUACACUAUUGAACACUAGAGCAUUUAAACACAAAGUCAAGGUUUUUCAUGUUAGGAAGGUCGUUGGGGAGUAGGCUGAAAAUUUUUAUUGUUGGGGAGAAUAUAAGGACCUGAAAAUAAGCCAAGGGUUGAUGGGCCUUAUAUUUAGGCAGUCUAGCCCAUAAAGAUUAAGGGCACAUGACUUAGAAGGGGCUUCUCUAAAAAUUAGAUUCUUCAUUUAGCCAUUUUUCCUUCUCUCUCUAGAAACCCUUUCACAUAAUUGCUCUUGCCUUCUCUCUAGAAUCCCAGCUCAUUGAACCGUUUAAUUUUUGGUUUGAAGGGGCUUAAGCGUGCACGACGUCAAGAGCUUCACUUUGAACCGGUCAGUUUCUCAAUAUCAUUUCGAUAAGUGGUCUUUUUAUUUCCCUCCACCAUUUUGAUACCUAGGGUUUGGGGUUCUACUGAUUUCAUGGAGUUAGAGCAAUCCUCAUU